This 190-nucleotide ribosomal RNA is filed under the name uncultured bacterium. RNAcentral's name for it is "partial 16S ribosomal RNA". It matches the Rfam family "Bacterial small subunit ribosomal RNA", at positions 1304 to 1500 of the family's 1533-position model. The record is from RNAcentral.
UCUGCAACUCGACCCCGUCGAAGUUGGAUUCGCUAGUAAUCGCGUAUCAGCAAUGACGCGGUGAAUACGUUCCCGGGCCUUGUACACACCGCCCGUCAAGCCAUGGAAGCUGGAAGUGCCUGAAGUGCGUAACCGCAAGGAGCGUCCUAGGGUAAAGUCGGUAACUGGGGCUAAGUCGUAACAAGGUAUC